Molecule: long non-coding RNA, 1249 nt
Organism: Papaver somniferum (opium poppy)
Lineage: Eukaryota; Viridiplantae; Streptophyta; Magnoliopsida; Ranunculales; Papaveraceae
Exons: 6
Source: RefSeq, a predicted model, not a curated record
UUCCAUUCUUAAAACACACUUCAUUGUUGCAAGUCGUGUAUGAAUUUCGUACGGAAUAAAAAUAAUUCGAUAAUUAGUAUGCUGUUGUUGGGUUUUUAACUUGUUGUAAAGGGUUUUGAUUUGAUUCAAGUCAUUUGCUUUGUGAUUCUCGUACACAUACAGGGGAAGAAGAAGAUGGAUUGGAAGAAGAAGAUGUCACACUAGUGGAAAACGGGUUUUUAACCACUUCUUGGGCUUCACUGAAACGACUGUUGCUGGGCUGUAAUAAUUUUUGGUGCUGUGGCGAACAAUUGUUUUAUUUAAACUUGUUUCGUUCACAGUAGUUUUAGAGAUAAGUUUUUUUCUAAAAACACGAGCUCCCUAAUAGGUUUUUGUAGAGUUAUAAAACCACUAUGAGAGAAAGAACUUUCUAUAACAAACCUUUUUAAAAUUCUAUUUGUCCUCCUUUCUCUUAUCGUUUUAACCUGCUCAAUUCCUAGAUGCGCCCCUCUCUUCUCCAUUAUUCAUAUCCUCAUUGAAUCCAGAAACUAAAAAAGAAUCAGAAGUAAUCACUUCAAUCUUUGCUACUAAACCCAAACCCCUUUCUCAUCUUCUUAAUCUUCUCCAAAAAGCCCAAAUUUAAACUGAAAGAUAACAACAACGAUUUGUUUGUAAUUAAACAAAUCCCUUACAUCGCGCAGCUUGUACCAAGAAAUAAAACUGGUCGAUCUAAAUCGAUUGGGUAUGUCGAGGGUCUUACCAAGGUUGAUGAAAAACUGAUCACAUGGAUAAACAGUCAAAGAAAAAACAGAAGGGGGUCUGGACUAUAUGGGUGAUAUUCAAUUGGAACGACCUAAAGUCUGCAGGGGUGAAUCAAGAGUUGGAAUGGCUAAAGAAAUUAAAAUCAGGAGAAAAAGCUCCAUCUGUACAAUUAAAACCGGGUUCCUUACUUCUCUUAGCAUUUCUAGAAUCUUAAAUGAGUACUUUAUCGUUCAGAGUGAAGUCUGUGUUGUUUCUGUUGUAUAGAUAAUUAGUGAUGAGAUACUUUUGCUAUGUAGAAGAGGAAGCUAGCUGGCAGGUUAGGAUCUUGGUGGAGCAAGGAAGAGCUUACAUGCUUUUAUGAAGACUAUGGGAAAGACUAAAAAAAGGCAUAAUUAUCUCUUCCAAAAGUGACGGCAUCAGUAAAUGGGUUAACAACAAGGAUGACAGACCAUUACAAUAUUAUGGAUGGAAUGAUGGAUCUGCGAUUGGGUCAGGGUCGAAGGCCUAA